CAGUAGCCACGGUAAUACGUAGGGGGCGAGCGUUGUCCGAAGUUACUGGGCGUAAAGCGCGCGUAGGCGGCUUCUUAAGUCUGAGGUGAAAGGUUCAACGCUUAACGUGAACAGUGCCUUGGAUACUGGGGAGCUUGAGUAUGGGAGAGGGCAGUGGAAUGGCUGGUGUAGCGGUGAAAUGCGUAGAUAUCAGUCGGAACACCCAUGGCGAAGGCAGCUGCCUGGCCUAAUACUGACGCUGAGGUGCGAAAGCGUGGGGAGCGAACGGGAUUAGAUACCCCGGUAGUCCCUGUCUCUUAUA
RNAcentral lists this ribosomal RNA (301 nucleotides) under uncultured bacterium. Its description in RNAcentral is "partial 16S ribosomal RNA". It matches the Rfam family "Bacterial small subunit ribosomal RNA", at positions 509 to 808 of the family's 1533-position model. The record is from RNAcentral.